AUGUAUGGCGAUAAAAGCCAGAACAAAAUCAAAACUCAGAAUCAAAAAACCAGAAAGGAAUCAGAAUACAAAACAGGAAGAAUAAUAUGCUCCAGAACUACCAUUCCUGCAACACCAGAUGAAAUAAAAGAUUUUAAAAGAGAUCACCAAAUAAAAAACUACGUUCCAUGCUAUAUUGAAAAUUAUUUUGAUAAACCAAGCUGCUGA
Molecule: non-coding RNA, 207 nt
Organism: Vicia faba (fava bean)
Lineage: Eukaryota; Viridiplantae; Streptophyta; Magnoliopsida; Fabales; Fabaceae
Source: the annotation of a GenBank genome assembly